This 1819-nucleotide long non-coding RNA is filed under the name Gossypium barbadense (sea-island cotton). Its description in RNAcentral is "long non-coding RNA (GBAR_LNC018885)". Lineage: Eukaryota; Viridiplantae; Streptophyta; Magnoliopsida; Malvales; Malvaceae. The record is from RNAcentral.
GGCCAUUGAUGAGCUCAAAUUAAGGUUAGUUCUUUGUUCGGUUUUUGAUAAUUUUUACAUUUUUGAGAUCGUUGCUUUGUGUACUACAAGACCCAUGUUUUAAUUUUUGGAAUUGGUGUUAAUUUUGUGUUAUGCCAUUGAUGAAUUCUUGAGCUUUGUGAUAGUUGAUGAUAAAAUAUGAAAGAUAAGUGAAAGAUUAACAUGUUUUGUCUUUGAAUUUUUGGUGAAAUUGAGUAAUUAGGACUAAUUUGUGAAAUUAAAUUUUUUUGAGGGACCAAAAUGUGAAAUAAAUGAAUUAUGUGGACUUGUAUGAACACUAGGGAUAUUCGGCCCUUGUAUAUUGUAGACAAAUGUUGUGUAUUUUGUGUUUUAUGCAAUAUAGACUAAAUUGCAAAAAGUGUAAAUGUCAGGAGUAAAAUGGUAAUUUUCUCAUUUACAUGCUUUUGGAUUAAAUUGAAUAUAAUAAUAUUUAAACUAGCUCAUUUUAAAUAUGCUUAGAUCAAGAACCAAAGAAAUCGGAGCUAAAUCGGGGAAAAGCCAAAGUCGUCGACUAAUUGUUCGAUUUCAAUUUUUUUCACUAUCCGAGGUAAGUCUAUUAGCAAUUUAAAAGUUAUUAAAUCAAUAUUUAUACAUGUAUAUCGAUUGUAUACUUGAUGAGCUGUAAUUAAAUGUUUAUAAUUUGAAGUAUAAGUAUAAAUUUUAUAUAAGUAUUUGAUAGUUUCGAAUAUACAAGUAUAAUCUUGUAUAAGUUCAUGAGUUAAAAUAUAGGUUUAAAUUUUAUAUAAGUAAAGGUAAGAUUCGGAUAGGCAUGUAUAUAUAUGAAAAUCUCUUGUAAUGAAAUUAGGUAAGAAAUUAUACAUGUAUAUGAUAGAUUCGAAAAUAUAUGUAAUAGUGUGAAUAAACCUUGAAUUUAGAUAAAGGUAUGAAUAUGUAUAUAUAUAUUUAUAAUUAUACACAUAAUGAUCGAAUAUAUAUGCAUAUAUGUAUAUAUAUAGUUUUUGAAUUUAGUGGAAGUAUAAACGUUGUUUAUGUAUAAAUUCUUGGUUUUAAUCUAAGGAAAGUAUGAUAUAUACAUAUAUAUGUAUAUUAGGUCCGAAUAUAUGUAUAUAAAUAUAUAUAUGUAUAAACUCUUAGAUUUGAUUAAGAUAUGUAACUUAUAUUUGUAUAUGUGAGUUGGUAAUUAUAUAUAUGUUAUAUUCGAAUGAUCAGGUAUACAUACAUGUAUAUGAUUUUAUAGUGAGUUUAGGUAUGACAAUUAUACAAGGUUACAUGAGGUUCGGUUAUGCUAAUAUACAGGUAUAUAUUCUUGUAAUAAAUUAUGUAUGUAUAUGUAUGUAUAUGUAUAUAUGUAUAUAUGUAUAUGAGAGGUUCAAUUAUGUAUAUAUAUUCAUGUAAAGUUCUUGAAUAACAUUUAAAUUAUGAAAUUAUUAGUUGGAUUAUUAAAAGAUGAUCGAAUAUAUGAUAUUAGUAGUAGGUUAAUGCAUUAAGUUAUAUAUAUAUAUAUAGGUUUGGAUGUAUAAUUAAAUUAUUGAGUUGGAAUUGAUGUUUGAACUUUAUACAUCUAUGUUAUUUAAAGAUAUAGUUUAUAAAUUAUUGAGCUGAAUUUUAUGUGGAUUCUAUAUACAAAUAUGAGAUACAACUUCUGUGAAUUGAGAUUUUUUUUGUUAAAGCUCAGUACCAAUCAGAUUUAUUGCCAGUGAAAUAAUUCAAACUUUAUGUCUAGCAGGCUUGAUGCCGGUGAAAUAUUUCAGACUUUAUGUCUAGCAAGCUUGAUGCCGGUGAAAUGUUUCGGACUUUACGUCUAGCAGGCUAAGUGCCG